This 440-nucleotide ribosomal RNA is filed under the name uncultured bacterium. RNAcentral describes it as "bacterial SSU rRNA". It matches the Rfam family "Bacterial small subunit ribosomal RNA", at positions 338 to 795 of the family's 1533-position model. The record is from RNAcentral.
CCUACGGGUGGCAGCAGUGGGGAAUAUUGCACAAUGGGGGAAACCCUGAUGCAGCAACGCCGCGUGAGCGAUGAAGGCCUCCGGAUCGUAAAGCUCUGUCCUAAGGGAAGAAUACUGACGGUACCUUAGGAGGAAGCCCCGGCUAACUACGUGCCAGCAGCCGCGGUGAUACGUAGGGGGCUAGCGUUAUCCGGAAUUACUGGGCGUAAAGGGUGCGUAGGCGGCCCUUCAAGUCAGAGGUGAAAGGCUACGGCUCAAUCGUGGUAAGCGUUUGAAACUGUAGGGCUUGAGUGCAGGAGAGGGGAGUGGAACUCCCAGUGUAGCUGUGAAAUGCGUAGUUAUUGGGGGGAACACCAGUGUCUAAGGCGGGUCUCUGGACUGUAACUGACGCUGGGGCACGAAAGCGUGGGGAGCGAUCAGGAUUAGAUACCCCGGUAGAC